AUUGAACGCUGGCGGCAUGCUUUUUACACACGCAAGUCGAACGGCAGCACGGGAGCAAUCCUGGUGGCGAGUGGCGAACGGGUGAGUAAUAUAUCGGAACGUGCCCAGUCGUGGGGGAUAACGCAGCGAAAGCUGUGCUAAUACCGCAUACGAUCUCUGGAUGAAAGCGGGGGACUCAGCAAUGGGCCUCGCGCGAUUGGAGCGGCCGAUAUCAGAUUAGCUAGUUGGUGGGGUAAAAGCCUACCAAGGCGACGAUCUGUAGCUGGUCUGAGAGGACGACCAGCCACACUGGAACUGAGACACGGUCCAGACUCCUACGGGAGGCAGCAGUGGGGAAUUUUUGGACAAUGGGCGAAAAGCCUGAUCCAGCAAUGCCGCGUGCAGGAUGAAGGCCUCGGUUGUAACU
This 406-nucleotide ribosomal RNA is filed under the name uncultured bacterium. RNAcentral describes it as "bacterial SSU rRNA". It matches the Rfam family "Bacterial small subunit ribosomal RNA", at positions 30 to 431 of the family's 1533-position model. The record is from RNAcentral.